CAGCAGCCGCGGUAAUACGUAGGGUGCGAGUGUUAAUCGGAAUUACUGGGCGUAAAGCGUGCGCAGGCGGUUAUGUAAGACAGGUGUGAAAUCCCCGGGCUUAACCUGGGAACUGCGCUUGUGACUGCACAGCUAGAGUAUGGCAGAGGGGGGUGGAAUUCCACGUGUAGCAGUGAAAUGCGUAGAGAUGUGGAGGAACACCGAUGGCGAAGGCAGCCCCCUGGGCCAAUACUGACGCUCAUGCACGAAAGCGUGGGGAGCAAACAGGAUUAGAUACCCGUGUAGUCCCUGUCUCUUAUAA
This 301-nucleotide ribosomal RNA is filed under the name uncultured bacterium. RNAcentral describes it as "partial 16S ribosomal RNA". It matches the Rfam family "Bacterial small subunit ribosomal RNA", at positions 509 to 809 of the family's 1533-position model. The record is from RNAcentral.